Molecule: long non-coding RNA, 2988 nt
Filed under: Ficedula albicollis (Collared flycatcher)
Lineage: Eukaryota; Metazoa; Chordata; Aves; Passeriformes; Muscicapidae
Description: lncRNA (ENSFALG00000028183.1)
Source: RNAcentral
AUGAAAAAGCCUUUGUGUAUGGAAUUACUCCCAAAUGUAAUUCAUAGAACAAUGUGUGCUAUUGAAAUGUAUUUAAAAAGAAAAAAAAAAAGGAAAGGAAAAGAGGAAAUAAAUGAGUUGUUCAAAGGGUUCUUUUGUAUCAGACUCGUGCUUUCAGGAGUCGUUCCCAGCUUCCAAAAUGCACGGGGAGAGGAGAGAGGGAGGAAGGAAGAAAAGAGACCAUUUCCCACGAGGCAGACCACCAGCUCCACAGGUGACAGCAGUGCUGAGGCUCCCAAGCGCCUGCCCUGCAGCAGCCCAGAGGAAAAGCAUGAAGGAAGCAACCUUCCUUGCCAAGGUUCAUAGACAGAAGCUUUCUGGAAAGCUAGAAAUUCAACAGUAUAACUUUUCAUUUGAUUUUAAGGUAACCACAUGAAAUCUUUAGGUCUGGAUGAUUUAAAGUGAUAUCUACUUCAAAUCCCAUUGUGAUAGACCAGCUAAGUUCCAAACACAGGUUGCUGAUUAUUACUGACAUACAGUUUAAAACAGUAAGAGGAAAUUCAGACCCAGAGAGAAUUUCAGAGCCAGAAAUCACUAUUGUGAUAAUUUUGCUUGAAUUUCACGCAGCACCACUCACAGUUUGCCUGGUGUUAGCUUGUGGUUGAACCAGGGAAGGACAGUUGGCUUGGAUGAAGUCCUUGGCAUUGCUUUUAAAGCCGACAUUAAAAGAACAUGACAGCUUUGCAAUGUGGUGAGCACUCAGCCCAUAGCAAAGACUGGACUGACACCAUUAAAUAUGAUACAUUCGAAAUUUUAAAAAUCUGUUUCACCUGGAAGUACUGAGUGGCCUCAGCAGAACCCGUAGACAUUAAUUCUGUCUGUGGUCUGCGUUCUCCUCUGCAGUUAUGCUGAGGGCUGGCUGUAGAAAUACUAAUUUUCUGGUGUUUUACUGGCAGACUGUCAGAAAGACAUUGCAAAUGUUUCUCUCUUCUGGUUCCUAUCUCCAAAAACGCCUCUAUACAUAGGGGCUUUUUCUUGCAAGACCUGUUGCCUGUUGAAAGCAGCGCCAUCUGGCUUUGUUUUCCUUUUUUUCACCAAAUAUUUGAUGCACUGUGUAAAACUAAUUCCAGCAUAACCAGUUUAUUAACACUGUUGCCAUGUUUUCACUUCACUAGAUGCUUAUACUUGCCAUUAUUUCUCAUUGUUGGCUUUUCUACUUUUACUUGCUGAGUGACUCUUGGGUUUUUAUUAAAAAUUGAUGAUUGCACUAGUUGUGAAUAAUUUUCUUUGACUUAGAGAAUAGUGAUCUGGAAUUAAUAGUACAUAAAAUAAAUACAAAAGGUAUCAAGAAUACAAUAAGGUAAGUUAUAUAGCCUGUGGAUAUAUAAAUAUCUUUGUAUUUACAGGGUAUUUGCUGUAAUUAAUUCCUAUCUGUUUUCAUAGAAGCUUUGUAGAAACUUACAUGGAAUGUAAGUUUAGGAUAACUGCCCCAUUAAGAUGCAUAUUUUACAUUUUUAACUUUGCUGUGACAGUUUCUGCCAUUGCCAAGCUGUGCUGCUAACAUCUCUGUUUAAUGCUCUCAUUACUCACGUAAAGGAGUUGAAGAUCAGUCCAGUGUUACUGAAAUACUGAGGUGUGGAGGAAAUUGCCCACAGAUAAAUGGGGUUUAGAUCUGUAAAUAUGGUUUUUAAACCCCCUGUCUAGUAGGAGAUUAAAAUCCAUAGUUGUGCUUCUACCUAAAGAAAUCCUUUCACUAAGCAUCCUGCUGCUGCAUCUGCCUGGAAGCUGAACCCUGGUUAACUCACCUCCCUGAGAGUCUGAGGAUGGAGCUGUUCCCCAUCCACCUCAGGGAUGUCCAGGUUGUAUUGGUGAAACUGAGGUCCCUCUGGUCUACAGGGUGAAGAUGCAACUUUACAUUAAAUCACAGGCCUUAGAGGGAAGUUGGUAGUUCUAGAUAAAAAUUUGGGGUGAUGCCCAGACGUGCAAGAAAUUUAGGGUCUCAGCCUGGCAUGGAGCUGCUCAGUGGUGCUUGGGGGAGCAUAGGAAAAGCCAACCCAAAUUCACUCUUGCUGAUCCAGCAAAUAUUUUCAGAGGAAGUGACAUGACUGCAGUGUGAGAGGCAGAGCACCCUGACCCUGACAGUGACAAAGCCAUGGCUGGGGUGUCUGGGGCACAGGUCUGAACCCCUGCUGCUGGGAAGGGAGUUAGCAGAGUGCUCUGACAGCUACACUGCUGCACUUUAUUAGGCAAAACACACUCUUUUGUUUCAGAAAAGGAUUUCACCCAUCUGCUGGAGGGGCAAAGUCAUUCUAAGCUGUGGGUCUUCAUUGAAGGUGGGUGAUUGAAAUGUCUGAGGAUAGGAGGAGGAAAAGUUUCUGCCUCAAAACAUUGGCAAGCCAGGCAUGCUAAAGAGAGUAAGCCUCAAAGGGAAAUCCAACAGUGCUGGCUGUGUCCAGUCCCAUUGUGAUAGAGCAAGGGUGCAGUCACAGAAUCCCCAGAUUCGCUUCAGUAUCAUCUGCUUCAGGACAAAGCACUGCUAAAUGCAGCUUCAGUUCUGGGUCUGGCUCCUAAGGGAGCUUGCAGUGACUAAACACAAGCUGCACCCUGUGCUUGGAGCAGGCUCCAGGCGUCUGCAUCUGCACACGGGUGCUUUACUCACUGCCAGCCUCCACAGGCCCAGGGAGGGCUGGCCUCAAGGUAUGGAUGCAGGCAGAAUUUAAUACCUUGGAGUAGAGCUGUCUCUGCUGUCGGGCUGUAGAGAAUCACUGCAGCGCAGUGGCUGCCAGGAGGGCAAACUGUGAGGCCCUAAAUCACAGUGAUGGAUUGUGAAAGGGCUAUAAUUCAAGGGGAAGUCAUUAGUCCCUUCUGAGGAUUUCCUUCUUGAGCACCAUCAAAGCAUUUUUCUGACUUCCUAAGUAGGCAGGAGCAUUGAGAUAUGAAUUUAUCCUUCUCUCUGCCAUUGCUUUUCUGCAGGAUUAAUAUACAAACCAGAGGUAAUCAAUGACAGAG